UGGGGAAUAUUGGACAAUGCGCGAAAGCCUGAUCCAGCCAUGCCGCGUGUGUGAAGAAGGUCUUCGGAUUGUAAAGCACUUUAAGUUGGGAGGAAGGGCAUUAACCUAAUACGUUAGUGUUUUGACGUUACCGACAGAAUAAGCACCGGCUAACUCUGUGCCAGCAGCCGCGGUAAGACAGAGGGUGCAAGCGUUAAUCGGAAUUACUGGGCGUAAAGCGCGCGUAGGUGGUUUGUUAAGUUGGAUGUGAAAUCCCCGGGCUCAACCUGGGAACUGCAUUCAAAACUGACUGACUAGAGUAUGGUAGAGGGUGGUGGAAUUUCCUGUGUAGCGGUGAAAUGCGUAGAUAUAGGAAGGAACACCAGUGGCGAAGGCGACCACCUGGACUAAUACUGACACUGAGGUGCGAAAGCGUGGGGAGCAAACA
This 427-nucleotide ribosomal RNA is filed under the name uncultured bacterium. RNAcentral describes it as "partial 16S ribosomal RNA". It matches the Rfam family "Bacterial small subunit ribosomal RNA", at positions 355 to 774 of the family's 1533-position model. The record is from RNAcentral.